Molecule: ribosomal RNA, 331 nt
Filed under: uncultured eukaryote
Lineage: Eukaryota
Description: partial 18S ribosomal RNA
Rfam family: Eukaryotic small subunit ribosomal RNA
Source: RNAcentral
CCCUUAGAUGUUCUGGGCCGCACACGCGCUACACUGGCAGGUUCAUCGAGCUUCAUGCCCUGAUCUGAGAAGAACGGGAAAUCUUUGAACACCUGCCGUGCUUGGGAUAGAUGUUUGCAAUUAUUCAUCUUCAACGAGGAUUGCCUUGUAAGCGCACGUCAUCAGCGUGCAUUGAAUACGACCCUGUAUUCUGUACACACCGCCCGUCGCUCCUACCGAUUGAAGUUUUCGGUGAAUUUACUGGAGAUCCCUUUUGAAGGUGGUUCGCCACUGGAAGAAGUAUUCAAAAGUAAAUGAAUCGAAUGCUUUAGAGGAAGGAGAAGCCGUAACA